This 82-nucleotide transfer RNA is filed under the name Devosia sp. YR412. It matches the Rfam family "tRNA". From Rfam's summary of the family: Transfer RNA (tRNA) molecules are approximately 80 nucleotides in length. Their secondary structure includes four short double-helical elements and three loops (D, anti-codon, and T loops). Further hydrogen bonds mediate the characteristic L-shaped molecular structure. tRNAs have two regions of fundamental functional importance: the anti-codon, which is responsible for specific mRNA codon recognition, and the 3' end, to which the tRNAs corresponding amino acid is attached (by aminoacyl-tRNA synthetases). tRNAs cope with the degeneracy of the genetic code in two manners: having more than one tRNA (with a specific anti-codon) for a particular amino acid; and 'wobble' base-pairing, i.e. permitting non-standard base-pairing at the 3rd anti-codon position. The record is from Rfam by way of RNAcentral. Lineage: Bacteria; Pseudomonadati; Pseudomonadota; Alphaproteobacteria; Hyphomicrobiales; Devosiaceae.
GCGGGCGUGGUGAAACUGGUAGACACAAGGGCCUUAAAAGCCCUCGCCGCUAGGCGUACGGGUUCGACCCCCGUCGCCCGCA